CGGAGCCUUUUUCUAAGCAGCUAUAGUGUCAUUUAAUAGCUGAAGUUAAAAAGAAAAGCACAGAGGGAACAUUUUCAAUAUAGCGUUUGAGAUGAGUAACAGAACUCUGAGAAAAUAAAAUG
Molecule: small nucleolar RNA, 122 nt
Organism: Triplophysa dalaica
Lineage: Eukaryota; Metazoa; Chordata; Actinopteri; Cypriniformes; Nemacheilidae
Source: RefSeq, a predicted model, not a curated record